GUGGUAAUCAACUUUAUCAGUAUUGUAGCAACUUGUUGGUGAGGAAAAGUAAUUUUGUCGGUGAAGUGGCCUACUGAUGGCUUGUUGGUAAAGUAUCACUUUGGUGAGGUAGCUUGUUGGUGGCUUGGAUAUCUUGCUAGUAGAGAAAUAACUUUUACAAUGAAACAUUUUGAAUUGAGCAUCUGCUAAUUUGCUACUUGUUGAUGAAGGGACAACUUUUGUUGGUAGUAUGACUUAGAUGGGAUAUUUAC
RNAcentral lists this long non-coding RNA (251 nucleotides) under Elaeis guineensis (African oil palm). Its description in RNAcentral is "long non-coding RNA (EGUI_LNC033447)". The record is from RNAcentral. Lineage: Eukaryota; Viridiplantae; Streptophyta; Magnoliopsida; Arecales; Arecaceae.